UCCUACGGGGCGCAGCAGUGAGGAAUAUUGGUCAAUGGGCGCGAGCCUGAACCAGCCAAGUCGCGUGAGGGAAGACGGUCCUAUGGAUUGUAAACCUCUUUUGUCGGGGAGCAAAAGACGCCACGCGUGGCGUUCCGAGAGUACCCGAAGAAAAAGCAUCGGCUAACUCCGUGCCAGCAGCCGCGGUAAUACGGAGGAUGCGAGCGUUAUCCGGAUUUAUUGGGUUUAAAUGGUGCGUAGGCGGUCGGAUAAGUUAGACGUGAAAUCCCGAGGCUCAACUUCGGAAUUGCCUCUGAUACU
This 300-nucleotide ribosomal RNA is filed under the name uncultured bacterium. RNAcentral's name for it is "bacterial SSU rRNA". It matches the Rfam family "Bacterial small subunit ribosomal RNA", at positions 337 to 634 of the family's 1533-position model. The record is from RNAcentral.